This 460-nucleotide ribosomal RNA is filed under the name uncultured bacterium. RNAcentral's name for it is "partial 16S ribosomal RNA". It matches the Rfam family "Bacterial small subunit ribosomal RNA", at positions 338 to 795 of the family's 1533-position model. The record is from RNAcentral.
CCUACGGGUGGCAGCAGUGAGGAAUAUUGGUCAAUGGACGAGAGUCUGAACCAGCCAAGUAGCGUGACGGAUGACUGCCCUAUGGGUUGUAAACUUCUUUUAUAUUGGAAUAAAAUGUUCCACGUGUGGGCUUUUGUAUGUACCAUAUGAAUAAGGAUCGGCUAACUCCGUGCCAGCAGCCGCGGUAAUACGGAGGAUCCGAGCAUUAACCGGAUUUAUUGGGUUUAAAGGGAGCGUAGGUGGAAUUUUAAGUCAGUUGUGAAAGUUUGCGGCUCAACCGUAAAAUUGCAGUUGAAACUGGCAGGCGUGAGUACAGUAGAGGUGGGCGGAAUGCGUGGUGUAGCGGUGAAAUGCUUAGAUAUCACGAAGAACUCCGAUUGCGAAGGCAGUGCACUGGACUGCAACUGACGCUGAGGCUCGAAAGUGUGGGUAUCAAACAGGAUUAGAUACCCGGGUAGUC